AUCUAGCUGAUGAAUCCAAAGUAGGACGAAACACACAUCCUGGAU
This is a non-coding RNA of Schistosoma curassoni, 45 nucleotides long. The record is from Rfam. Lineage: Eukaryota; Metazoa; Platyhelminthes; Trematoda; Strigeidida; Schistosomatidae.